Long non-coding RNA from Denticeps clupeoides (denticle herring), 1710 nucleotides. Lineage: Eukaryota; Metazoa; Chordata; Actinopteri; Clupeiformes; Denticipitidae. The record is from Ensembl.
CAGCGAGCCGUCCUGCAUGCUGAAUGCUCACCAGGAAACUGAUGGUUGCCUCUUUUUAACAGGGGGAUAAAGGCGAUGCUGGUGUGCCAGGCGCUGAGGGACAGCAAGGUGUUCCAGGUAUUCGAGGUCUCACAGGUGAGAUGGGACCAACAGGACCUUCGGUAAAAAAAAUAAUGUUUCUUAAAGAAACACAUUUGAUCAUUAUUCAACCAGACAAGAGUCUUGAAUGAAUUUAUUCUGUGAGUGUAGGGGGAGAGGGGACACCCAGGACAAAAAGGGGCCACAGGACCAAAAGGACCUCCGGGUAUCCAAGGCCCCAGGGGACCGCCAGGAGCAGAAGGACCAGAGGGCUCGAAGGGGAGUCCUGGUGAUCAUGGCACGACCGGGUCGGCAGGACCUGCAGGUGAAAAGGGGGCACAAGGAGAACCUGGGUUUCCAGGAAUGCAAGGUGCUAUGGGGCUGCCUGGGUUCAAAGGUCAUAAGGCAAGUUUGAAAAACACACCGAAACUGUCGUCUUUGAUUAUUUAGGGCCAUGCAUUUGAUAGACAAAACAUCAGCAGUGUUAUCAAUAUACUAAGAAACAGAUAUAGGAAUUUAUUUUAGAAUGUUAAAAUUCAUUAACAUUUUAUUGUUAGUGCUACAUUUACUUUGUGUUAGCUAAAGUUUGCAGAGGUUAAUACCGGCUGAAAAAGCUGACAUCUUUUUCUUUCUAGAAGAAGCCAAUCGAGAUUGACUCUAUUAUCAUAAUGAAAGGUUUCGUGCUGCUUUUAGGGAGACAGGGGAGAGGACGGGCCCAAAGGAUGUCAGGUAUUGUCCUUGUCAUUUGUCUAACACAAAGGGGCUUAAUGCAAUUCAGACGUGCCAAAGCUCAGUCUCCGCCAUGAAAACGACUGCGUAAAAAAAAAAAAACAAUGCAGAAUGCAUUCUGACGAUUCUAUCACCGAAUCUAAAGCCAAUUCCGGUAGACAGCAUGGUGCUGCUUGUUGUUCCAGAGUAUAAUAACCAUAAUGGGAGAGGGGGAUUGAGAUGAAAAAGACAUGCAUAUGCAACACCUGCAUGUAACAAACUGUGAAUUUCAAUAGAUUUGUACUCUGGUUCUUAUAGGAACUCAUGAAUGUUUCAUUCCUCUUGUAGGAAAUCUUUGGCAAAAUGACUAGGCGCAUGCAGUAAUAUGGGACUUUUUUUCCCCCAGUAAUGGGUACUGUCUCCGUAAUGCCUCCACCAGUCCAAGGACUGUCGAGAUUUGACACCCCGGUGAGAGUGAUGGAGGCUUUUCUAUUCUGGCCUAAAGAAGGGGGCCGAAGGGGGUUCCAAUUUUUUUUUUUUUCAAGCUUCCUUUUCAUGUGUCCUUUCCCUGGCUGCCUUUUGGGAAAGGUCAGCGGGACCCUGGUGCUGCUCCAAAGGCUGUGAAUUGUAAUGAUAACCUUUAAUUCCUGGAUGCUAUCUUUCCCCCUAACACGUAUUCAAUCCGGUUUAAGGGAGAGCGAGGCCAUGAGGGAGCCUCCGGAGUUCCGGGUGCCCUGGUGAGUUUGGUUUAGCACAUUUUUCUGCCACCAGGUGGCAGAAUUUGAAGACUUGAUUUUAUUUUUUUACAUUUGGCUAAAACCAGUUAGGCUCAAUAUGAACAACUAUGUAAAAAAAAAAACAGAAAUCUUAUAUCUGCCAAUCUGCCAAUUUUUAAAGAAAGCACAUUCAUGAUGUGUUGUGUGG